Molecule: ribosomal RNA, 386 nt
Filed under: uncultured bacterium
Lineage: Bacteria
Description: bacterial SSU rRNA
Rfam family: Bacterial small subunit ribosomal RNA
Source: RNAcentral
GAUGAACGCUAGCGGCAGGCUUAACACAUGCAAGUCGAGGGGUAUGCUUCUUCGGAAGCAGAGACCGGCGCACGGGUGCGUAACGCGUAUGCAAUCUACCUUUUACAGAGGGAUAGCCCAGAGAAAUUUGGAUUAAUACCUCAUAGUAUUAUAGAAUGGCAUCAUUUUAUAAUUAAAGUCACAACGGUAAAAGAUGAGCAUGCGUCCCAUUAGCUAGUUGGAAGGUAACGGCUUACCAAGGCUACGAUGGGUAGGGGUCCUGAGAGGGAGAUCCCCCACACUGGUACUGAGACACGGACCAGACUCCUACGGGAGGCAGCAGUGAGGAAUAUGGACAAUGGGCGCAAGCCUGAUCCAGCCAUGCCGCGUGCAGGAUGACGGUCCUA